GACGAACGCUGGCGGCGUGCUUAACACAUGCAAGUCGAGCGGUAAGGCCCUUUCGGGGGUACACGAGCGGCGAACGGGUGAGUAACACGUGGGUGACUUGCCCUCAGCUCUGGGAUAAGCCUGGGAAACUGGGUCUAAUACUGGAUAUGACUCCACGGUGCAUGUCGUGGGGUGAAAGCCUUGUGCGGCUGAGGAUGGGCCCGCGGCCUAUCAGCUUGUCGGUGGGGUGANGGCCUACCAAGGCGACGACGGGUAGCCGGCCUGAGAGGGCGACCGGCCACACUGGGACUGAGACACGGCCCAGACUCCUACGGGAGGCAGCAGUGGGGAAUCUUGCGCAAUGGGCGAAAGCCUGACGCAGCGACGCCGCGUGAGGGAUGACGGCCU
Molecule: ribosomal RNA, 387 nt
Filed under: uncultured bacterium
Lineage: Bacteria
Description: bacterial SSU rRNA
Rfam family: Bacterial small subunit ribosomal RNA
Source: RNAcentral